RNAcentral lists this ribosomal RNA (301 nucleotides) under uncultured bacterium. RNAcentral describes it as "partial 16S ribosomal RNA". It matches the Rfam family "Bacterial small subunit ribosomal RNA", at positions 509 to 807 of the family's 1533-position model. The record is from RNAcentral.
CAGUCGCCGCGGUAAUACGAAGGGGGCUAGCGUUGCUCGGAAUGACUGGGCGUAAAGGGCGCGUAGGCGGAUUGUUUAGUUAGGCGUGAAAUUCCUGGGCUUAACCUGGGGACUGCGCUUAAUACAGGCAGUCUAGAGUGAGGAAGAGGGUUGUGGAAUUCCCAGUGUAGAGGCGAAAUUCGUAGAUAUUGGGAAGAACACCGGUGGCGAAGGCGGCAACCUGGUCCUUGACUGACGCUGAGGCGCGAAAGCGUGGGGAGCAAACAGGAUUAGAGACCCCCGUAGUCCCUGUCUCUUAUAC